Molecule: ribosomal RNA, 465 nt
Filed under: uncultured bacterium
Lineage: Bacteria
Description: partial 16S ribosomal RNA
Rfam family: Bacterial small subunit ribosomal RNA
Source: RNAcentral
CCUACGAGUGGCAGCAGUGGGGAAUAUUGCGCAAUGGGCGAAAGCCUGACGCGGCGACGCCGCGUGAGGGAUGAAGGUCUUCGGAUCGUAAACCUCUGUCAGCAGGGAAGAACGGUCACUGUGCUAAUCAGCAGUGAAUUGACGGUACCUGCAAAGGAAGCAACGGCGAACUCCGUGCGAGCAGCCGCGGUAAUACGGAGGGUGCGAGCGUUAAUCGGACUUACUGGGCGUAAAGCGCUCGUAGGCGGUAUGGCAAGGCAAGGGUGAAAUCCCCUCGCUCAACGUGGGAACUGCCUUUGAAACUGGCAACCUGGAGUGUGUGAGAGGAUAGUGGAAUUGCUGGUGUAGGAGUGAAAUCCGUAGAUAUCUGGAGGAACAUCAGUGGCGAAGGCGACUAUCUGGCACAUAACUGACGCUGAGGAGCGAAAGCGUGGGUAGCAAACAGGAUUAGAUACCCUUGUAGUC